Molecule: ribosomal RNA, 301 nt
Filed under: uncultured bacterium
Lineage: Bacteria
Description: partial 16S ribosomal RNA
Rfam family: Bacterial small subunit ribosomal RNA
Source: RNAcentral
CAGUAGCCGCGGUAAGACAGAGGAUGCAAGCGUUAUCCGGAAUGAUUGGGCGUAAAGCGUCUGUAGGUGGCUUUUCAAGUCCGCCGUCAAAUCCCAGGGCUCAACCCUGGACAGGCGGUGGAAACUACCAAGCUGGAGUACGGUAGGGGCAGAGGGAACUUCCGGUGGAGCGGUGAAAUGCGUUGAGAUCGGAAGGAACGCCCGUGGCGAAAGCGAGGUCCUGGACGUCUACUGACGCUGAGACGCGAAAGCUAGGGGAGCGAACGGGAUUAGAUACCCCAGUAGUCCCUGUCUCUUAUAC